RNAcentral lists this ribosomal RNA (301 nucleotides) under uncultured bacterium. RNAcentral's name for it is "partial 16S ribosomal RNA". It matches the Rfam family "Bacterial small subunit ribosomal RNA", at positions 509 to 809 of the family's 1533-position model. The record is from RNAcentral.
CAGUCGCCGCGGGAACACGUAGGGUGCAAGCGUUAAUCGGAAUUACUGGGCGUAAAGCGUGCGCAGGCGGAUAGGUCAGUCUGUCUUAAAAGUUCGGGGCUUAACCCCGUGAUGGGAUGGAAACUGCCAAUCUAGAGUAUCGGAGAGGAAAGUGGAAUUCCUAGUGUAGCGGUGAAAUGCGUAGAUAUUAGGAAGAACACCAGUGGCGAAGGCGACUUUCUGGACGAAAACUGACGCUGGGGCGCGAAAGCCAGGGGAGCGAACGGGAUUAGAUACCCGUGUAGUCCCUGUCUCUUAUACA